This is a non-coding RNA of Xyrichtys novacula (pearly razorfish), 1850 nucleotides long. NCBI's taxonomy places the organism in Eukaryota, Metazoa, Chordata, Actinopteri, Labriformes, Labridae. The record is from the annotation of a GenBank genome assembly.
CCGCAGCCAACCAGGCAUGUUUGACAGAGGGGAUGUUUCUCUGCUCUCUCUCCUUUUCUCUCUCAGACAUGGUCAUGGUAAGACUUCCAACUAGUUCAUAUUAUAAAUGGAAACACAGCUCACAUGAUCUGCACUUGUAUUAUUCAGUCAUCUGGGGACACUUGAUUUGGCUGAAUUAGACUCUGAAACAGUGUUUUUUAAAAAUUCAGAGGAAGGGGAUUUAGGUUGACGUAACGAUAUAAAGUGAAACAAGGUUAUGAAAAUCCACUGAAAGAGGAAUUAAAGCCAAGAAAGACGCAACAACAAUAAAGCUGUUUACUACUAUUAUUAUCAUUAUUGUAAGCAUGGAGCUGGAGCAUAGACUCUAUAUAGAAUGGACGCCGUCUGCCUCCUCGCUGGGUGAAGCUACCAUGAGAACAGCACCCUCUGGUGACGGGCUGCAGUAUAGGUCAUAAAUCCCGCCUCCUCCAGCAAUCCCUAUGAAGCUGUGGACAAACUUUAGAAAUCAAUUCCACAGAAUGUUAAUUUUUCUCCCCCCUGGUUUCGAUGUUGACAUGUCGUCACUGUAAGACCAGUUUGUGCUCAAGUCCUCUUUUUUCUGUGCAGCUCCAUUUUUAAAAGUUAUUAGAGGGUUCACCUCAGAGAUACGCUGUUUGAGCCAAGCGUCAUCACAGCAAUUCCCGGCGACUCUCCCGCCAAAUGCUACUGCGCAAUGUUGGUUUUAUGAAGUGGAGAAAAACUCUGAGAAACUUGGAGCUUUUUGGCUAUAAAUCCGAAUACUGGUGGAAGGCGGAACCAAGUUGUCCAUAGUAUAUAAAGUCUAUGAGCUGGAGUGGGGGAAUAAUGUAUAAAAAUAUGAAAAAUGUGCGUAUCAGACUCUGCCCCUUUUAUCUAAAGACCAUUCAGGCCAUGCACCUGAGACUUGUACUUGUACAAAGUACUCCUCUUUCACCAGUGCAGCUGUUGAAGUUCACAGAAACCCAAAUAUUAGGCUUUGGACUCAACAGCCAGCAAAGGAUCCUGCAGACAGGUAAACAUGUGUUUUCAGCGUACACAUGAUAAUACAUGGAUACAGUGUCAGUGGAGUCAGUCAUUUAUUCUUGAGGAUGAGUUUCGAAGCUUAUCGUCACUUUGAAAAUGCUGACCUGAUAUUCAGUGAAAAAAGGUGCAGAUCUUUAGCCUCCUUGCUCACAGCUAAAGUGUGCUCUGCUGCCAGUCAAACUGAUGCCGAAAGAGAAAACAGCCACUUAAGCCAAAACUUUUUGUUUUUCAUUUGUUUAUUUGACAGGGACAGUACAUCAGACAUUGUUGCAUCUAAUUAAAGAGCAGCCGAUGCUGUUUAUGCAGGACUUCUAGCCGUGGCUAAUUUGCGUCCUUGUCCCCGGUUAGACAGCUGGAAAUACAACACACAAUACAUAAACCACUGAAUAAAAACUAACAUUAUAGCAGGUACAGACAGGCAAUCAUAUGUUUGCAUAAAAACCAACAGCAAAGCAGACAAAACAAGCAGUUUCUUCUACGCACAAACACAACUGAAAAACCCAAGAAUUAAUGUGACACAGAUAGGUUGUCAGGUAUGAUUUUUUUCCAACCAUGUUUUUCCUAUUUUUCUCCUUUUAUAUUUGUAUGUAAUUUCCUGUGUUUUUGCAUUCCAGGCAGAAACCUUGAGCAGAACCAAACACAUAUAAGACGGUUAUCUGCCGAGACUGCACUGGGUUUAGAAAGGGGAGAGAGGGCGAUGCAGAAAGAGAGAGAUGAACAGAGAUGAGACUGAUGCAGGUAGUUGAAGCAGCUGGAAAGCAGGUAGCAGGACGUCUGCAGCAGCAAUCCAGAGGAACCUACGGCAUGAU